This 428-nucleotide ribosomal RNA is filed under the name uncultured bacterium. RNAcentral's name for it is "bacterial SSU rRNA". It matches the Rfam family "Bacterial small subunit ribosomal RNA", at positions 355 to 776 of the family's 1533-position model. RNAcentral also lists the same sequence under 1 other name. The record is from RNAcentral.
UAGGGAAUUUUCGGCAAUGGGGGAAACCCUGACCGAGCAACGCCGCGUGAGCGAAGAAGGCCUUCGGGUCGUAAAGCUCUGUUGUAAAGGAAGAACGUCGCAUGCAGGAAAUGGUGUGCGAGUGACGGUACUUUACCAGAAAGCCACGGCUAACUACGUGCCAGCAGCCGCGGUAAUACGUAGGUGGCGAGCGUUAUCCGGAAUCAUUGGGCGUAAAGAGGGAGCAGGCGGCCGCAAGGGUCUGUGGUGAAAGACCGAAGCUAAACUUCGGUGAGCCAUGGAAACCGGGCGGCUAGAGUGCGGAAGAGGAUCGUGGAAUUCCAUGUGUAGCGGUGAAAUGCGUAGAUAUAUGGAGGAACACCAGUGGCGAAGGCGACGGUCUGGGCCGCAACUGACGCUCAUUCCCGAAAGCGUGGGGAGCAAAUAGG